GGAAUGUGUAGCUAAGCUAAUAACAGAUCUCCCAGCUACUUGUGAUGUGGGCUGAAAUGUACAUUGAGCCAAAAUCAAUCACACUAUUUUUAAAAAUAUGCAAGAUCAUGCUAGAAUUUUGUAAUUUUUAUAAAUAUAUAUGUCAGAUACCAAUCAGAAAAGAGAAACCAUUUUGGGUACUUCAAACAAAGGGGAUGUAAUAUAGGGAUUAGUUAUACAGUCGAAAGAAGAGCUGAGAGGUCAAAUAGGAGAUGAUGAGGCAAUCUAGAGAUUAGCAACAAUGCGAAUCCCAUCACUCAAGGGCUGAAGGAUGGCAAGGAGGAGAUGAUACUGUCAAAACUCAAAAGUUGUGGAUCUCAGGGCCAGCCCCAUAGCUGAGUGGCUAAGUUUGUGUGCUCCACUUCGGCGGCCCAGGGUUUCACUGGUUUGGAUCCUGGGCGAGGACCUAGCACUGCUCAUCAAGCCAUGCUGAGGUGGCAUUCCACAUAGCAGAGCCAGAAGGACCUACAACUAGAGUAUACAACUAGAUUAUCCCUGAGCUAACAUCUGUGCGAAGCCUUCUCUACUUUUUUGAAUGUGGGACACCUCCACAGCACGGCUGGUGCGGGGAGCAGGUCCAUGCCCGGCAUCUGAAUCCACGAACCUGGGCUGCUGAAGCAGAGCACAUGGAACUUUAACCACUUGGCCAAGGGCCAGGCCCAAGGCCAGACUCUGUGCAGAAUUCCAGCUCUUCCCACCUUCUGACCAACACUUUCCUGGGCAUGGAGUCACUCAGAGCCUUGGGGAGGCUGAGCUCAUCUAACAAAGUGAAAAGUAACAACUUCAGACUCUGUAAUGAGGAGGCUGCUCCAAGUGAUAUUUAUACAAUGAGUAGGGUGGAGAAGUCAUCUAUAGGGUCUGUUAAGGACUCUCAUUUGCCAUGAAGUCCAGAGGCCCAAGGACAUUUUACGUCAAACAAUAACUUCCUCCUUAAUCUCAGCAGAUACUCCCAUUCUAUAAAACUAGAAUUUAGUGGGGGUAGGGAUAGAAUGUAACACAUUUUUGCAAACCUCUUCAGUUGAUGGGAUUUCCAGUUUUCUUGUCUUUUCAAAAGUAGCUCAUCCAAGUCUUAAAAGCAAGAGUUGUGUGUUCAAGGACUAAACUGACAACUCGGAACUAUUGUUAUGCAAAAACAAUAAUGUGGAUUUGCUGCCUCCACUCUUACUUGAAAUGAAGUGAAGACAUAGAUGGCUGGCCAGCCUCUGCCUAAUCCACCAAGCCUUGUGUGUGCUGAUAACAUUGUCACAAACUUUUCAAUUGACCUUCUUCACCAGGAUGGAAAGCCGAGGUCCAAUUCACUGCAAAGUUUAGCUUAAUUUAGUGGAAAGUAAGAGGAUUCAUUAGGAAAGAUUCAAUACUGAUGUCCUAUAUUUAAAAAUGUUUCAAUUUUCCUGUCUUUUAGGGGAGAGGAUAACUCAGGAGCUAGGAUUUUCACAGCGCCUUUAUAUGUGUAUGUAGCCAUUAGCAAAAUAUUAAAAUAAAGUUCAUUUUGUCACACUUCUGGGUUAAAGGGACCACCUACAGUAACAUUAUAAAGAAAUCAAAUCAAAUCCUUUUUGGAAUAAGGAGGGUUGUGUAUGAAAAAUAAGUAAACAUCUAAAUUGUCAGUCAAGUAUGUAUUACAAAAGCAAAAAGGAAGUAGGACUUUCACAGAAAUGUGAUGCUUUGCCAAAGUUUGUGUAACCAUGAACCACAAAUCGCUAGGUUUAUUUAAAAUAGGCCCAGUGAGUGAGGCUUGGCUUCAACAGUGUUUUGUUUUGAAUUUAUUAUAAUUAAUCUCUUCUUGUCAGUUGUAUGACACAUUUUCCCAAAGGACAUCAUGAUACUUAACAAAACCUAGGAGUAAUGACAAAAUAGCAUGAUAAUUGGUGUUAAAUGGAUCAUUUGUUCAAGUGUUCUAUUAUACUAGUUCAUUUCUCACCAGCUUCAUUCUUUUUUUCUACUCCCAAAUGAUGCCAAUUAUCUAAAAUCCUGAAUAAUAAUUUGUUAACCUUCACUUGUCACCUUAUUAACUCAGUCCUCCCAUUCUCUUUCCAAACUCUGCAUCACACAGUUAUUUUACAUUCAGCAAUCCUUUCAAUUAUAAAAUAAUUAUAGCCUGUAAAAGUAUCUAUCAGUGUCCGUUACUGAGGAGGACUCUAAAGCCAAUUUUAAGUUCUGCAGA
Molecule: long non-coding RNA, 2203 nt
Filed under: Equus asinus (donkey)
Lineage: Eukaryota; Metazoa; Chordata; Mammalia; Perissodactyla; Equidae
Description: lncRNA (ENSEASG00005023910.1)
Source: RNAcentral